GCCAGCUUGGCGCAGUGGUAACGUACGUCCACUCUGAAACCUCCACAUCUUGAACCCUCAUUCUAACGAAUCUUCAGGCGUCGCACUUGUAGCACAAAACGUCUAGACAUGCGAAGAUCGCUCGUUCGAUUCGGGCAGUUGGCA
Molecule: non-coding RNA, 144 nt
Organism: Neocucurbitaria cava
Lineage: Eukaryota; Fungi; Ascomycota; Dothideomycetes; Pleosporales; Cucurbitariaceae
Source: the annotation of a GenBank genome assembly